This 421-nucleotide ribosomal RNA is filed under the name uncultured bacterium. RNAcentral describes it as "bacterial SSU rRNA". It matches the Rfam family "Bacterial small subunit ribosomal RNA", at positions 28 to 444 of the family's 1533-position model. The record is from RNAcentral.
GACGAACGCUGGCGGCGCGCCUAACACAUGCAAGUCGAACGGAGCUUAGAGAGCUUGCUUUUUAAGCUUAGUGGCGAACGGGUGAGUAACGCGUGAGUAACCUGCCCUAGAGUGGGGGACAACAGUUGGAAACGACUGCUAAUACCGCAUAAGCCCACGGUACCGCAUGGUACUGAGGGAAAAGGAUUUAUUCGCUUUAGGAUGGACUCGCGUCCAAUUAGCUAGUUGGUGAGGUAACGGCCCACCAAGGCGACGAUUGGUAGCCGGACUGAGAGGUUGAACGGCCACAUUGGGACUGAGACACGGCCCAGACUCCUACGGGAGGCAGCAGUGGGGGAUAUUGCACAAUGGGGGAAACCCUGAUGCAGCGACGCCGCGUGGAGGAAGAAGGUUUUCGGAUUGUAAACUCCUGUCGUUAGGG